This 502-nucleotide ribosomal RNA is filed under the name uncultured bacterium. RNAcentral's name for it is "partial 16S ribosomal RNA". It matches the Rfam family "Bacterial small subunit ribosomal RNA", at positions 30 to 523 of the family's 1533-position model. The record is from RNAcentral.
AUUGAACGCUGGCGGAAUGCUUUACACAUGCAAGUCGAACGGCAGCACGGGUGCUUGCACCUGGUGGCGAGUGGCGAACGGGUGAGUAAUAUACCGGAACGUAUCCAAUAAUGGGGGAUAACUAGCCGAAAGGUUAGCUAAUACCGCAUAAGCCCUGAGGGGGAAAGCUGGGGAUCGUAAGACCUAGCGUUGAUGGAGCGGCAGAUAUCUGAUUAGCUAGUUGGUGGGGUAAGAGCCUACCAAGGCGACGAUCAGUAGCUGGUCUGAGAGGACGACCAGCCACACUGGAACUGAGACACGGUCCAGACUCCUACGGGAGGCAGCAGUGGGGAAUUUUGGGCAAUGGGGGCAACCCUGAUCCAGCCAUUCCGCGUGAGUGAAGAAGGCCUUCGGGUUGUAAAGCUCUUUCGCAAGGGAAGAAAACUCGAUCUCUAAUAUAGGUUGAGGCUGACGGUACCUUGAUAAGAAGCACCGGCUAACUACGUGCCAGCCGCCGCCGUAA